GGAUCGGCUAACUCCGUGCCAGCAGCCGCGGUAAUACGGAGGAUCCGAGCGUUAUCCGGAUUUAUUGGGUUUAAAGGGUGCGUAGGUGGUUUGAUAAGUCAGCGGUGAAAGUUUGCAGCUUAACUGUAAAAAUGCCGUUGAAACUGUCGGACUUGAGUGUAAAUGAGGUAGGCGGAAUGCGUGGUGUAGCGGUGAAAUGCAUAGAUAUCACGCAGAACUCCGAUUGCGAAGGCAGCUUACUAAGCUACAACUGACACUGAAGCACGAAAGCGUGGGGAUCAAACAGGAUUAGAUACCCUGGUAGUCCACGCAGUAAACGAUGAUUACUAGCUGUUUGCGAUACACAGUAAGCGGCACAGCGAAAGCGUUAAGUAAUCCACCUGGGGAGUACGCCGGCA
Molecule: ribosomal RNA, 398 nt
Filed under: uncultured bacterium
Lineage: Bacteria
Description: bacterial SSU rRNA
Rfam family: Bacterial small subunit ribosomal RNA
Source: RNAcentral